Molecule: ribosomal RNA, 253 nt
Filed under: uncultured bacterium
Lineage: Bacteria
Description: partial 16S ribosomal RNA
Rfam family: Bacterial small subunit ribosomal RNA
Source: RNAcentral
UACAGAGGGUGCAAGCGUUAUUCGGAAUUAUUGGGCGUAAAGAGCGUGUAGGCGGCCAGGUAGGUCUGCUGUGAAAACUCGAGGCUCAACCUCGAGACGUCGGCGGAAACCAUCUGGCUAGAGUCCGGAAGAGGAGAGUGGAAUUCCUGGUGUAGCGGUGAAAUGCGCAGAUAUCAGGAAGAACACCCGUGGCGAAGGCGGCUCUCUGGGACGGUACUGACGCUGAGACGCGAAAGCGUGGGGAGCGAACAGG